This is a long non-coding RNA of Equus caballus (horse), 253 nucleotides long. RefSeq lists it as uncharacterized. Lineage: Eukaryota; Metazoa; Chordata; Mammalia; Perissodactyla; Equidae. The record is from RefSeq and is a predicted model, not a curated record.
AACGUUAAUUCCUAUAAGCCAGUGAAACAAUCUAGAAUGACAGCUAUAUUUCUUCUAUUGUGUUCGGAGACCAAGCCAUCAAAAAAUGUUUCAUAAGUUCCUUCAUACAUUGAAAUUUGAGUAUGUCUCUCUUCAUGGUGACAAAAUGGCUGCAGCAGCUCCAGAAUCACAUGUGGACAUAACAUUAUUCAGAAAAGAAGACAGACUAUGCUCCUGUACAUGUCUCUUAUAAUAAAAAAAAUUUCCCAUAAAA